Molecule: ribosomal RNA, 498 nt
Filed under: uncultured bacterium
Lineage: Bacteria
Description: bacterial SSU rRNA
Rfam family: Bacterial small subunit ribosomal RNA
Source: RNAcentral
GGCUAACGCUGGCGGCGUGUCUUAGCCAUGCAAGUCGAGCGGACUUAUGGGGUAACUUAUAAGUCAGCGGCGGGCGGCGGAGUAACACGUAGCUAACCUACCCUCUGGACGGGGAUAACCUACCGAAAGGUGGGCUAAUACCCGAUGUAGUCAUCCUGUAUAGGGGUGAUGAAAGGUGGGCUUCUGUUUACAAGCUCAUGCUGGAGGAGGGGGCUGCGGCCUAUCAGGUAGUUGGUAGGGUAAUAGCCUACCAAGCCGAUGACGGGUAGCCGGCCUGAGAGGGUGACCGGCCCGAGGGGCACUGAGAUACGGGUCCCACUCCUACGGGAGGCAGCAGGCUAGAAAUUUGGGCAAUGGGGGAAACCCUGACCCAGUGACGCCGCGUGCAGGAAGGAGCCCUUCGGGGUGUAAACUGCUGUCGUGUAGGGAGAAGGGUACUAAGGUGAACAAUCUUAGUACUUGACGGUACUACAGGAGGAAGCCCAGGCUAACCUCGUG